This 327-nucleotide ribosomal RNA is filed under the name uncultured eukaryote. RNAcentral describes it as "partial 18S ribosomal RNA". It matches the Rfam family "Eukaryotic small subunit ribosomal RNA", at positions 1470 to 1796 of the family's 1831-position model. The record is from RNAcentral.
CCCUUAGAUGUUCUGGGCCGCACGCGCGCUACACUGAUGCAUUCAACGAGUUUCUUCCUGGUCCGAGAGGAAUGGGUAACCUUUUGAAUCUGCAUCGUGACGGGGAUAGAUUAUUGCAAUUAUUAAUCUUCAACGAGGAAUGCCUAGUAGGCGCAAGUCAUCAGCUUGCGUCGAUUACGUCCCUGCCCUUUGUACACACCGCCCGUCGCUCCUACCGAUUGGGUGUGCUGGUGAAAUGUUCGGAUCGGCCGUUUGUCGCGGUUUCCGCGUCAUGUGGCUGAGAAGUUCAUUAAACCCUCCCACCUAGAGGAAGGAGAAGUCGUAACA